Rhagoletis pomonella (apple maggot) is the source of this 596-nucleotide long non-coding RNA. RefSeq lists it as uncharacterized. The transcript has 3 exons. Lineage: Eukaryota; Metazoa; Arthropoda; Insecta; Diptera; Tephritidae. The record is from RefSeq and is a predicted model, not a curated record.
AAACUAUUCCAAAGGUGUUUUGCUGUUUUGUGUGCCCGUGCAUUCCAUCAACUUGAUCGGCUGCCUCUUGCCAGCAUUGUUUGAAUUACUGCAAAACCAUCGCUGCACUCGUUUUCACUUGCUUUGGUUCGCUGCCUGUGUACAUCUUGGUGCCAGCUGCGGACUGUGGACCAACUUUUCGUGGCCGUGUAACUCUCGCAUCGUCACAGUGUGUCUUCCGCUUCUCUGUCUGUGGGACCACUGCAUCGUAGGUUUCUUCUGCUGCUCCACACGUUUUCGACUGCUUCGUGUUCCUUUGUUCAUCUGGCUUGUACAUUUCUGUCGCUGCACUAUCAGCUUACCAUAAUCUACUUUAGAGCCAUCUUUGCACCACCGGCGUAUUUUCGACGUAAGUUAACCUUUAUGAUUACAAGCCUUCUAAAGAGUUAUAGAUCAUUUAUGCAUACAUUGCACUGCAUUGCACUCCAUUAUAUCUGCGUACAUCCACCCUUGUUUUUUUAAAUAUUCAAAAUGAUUUGCAAACUAUAAUUUGUUUACUAAUUUUGUACAAAAAUAUGGUUCAUACUACAAACCAGAGUUGUGAAAAAUGCAUUAAU